This 1313-nucleotide long non-coding RNA is filed under the name Marmota monax (woodchuck). The record is from RNAcentral. Lineage: Eukaryota; Metazoa; Chordata; Mammalia; Rodentia; Sciuridae.
GAAGUAGAUAGUUGUAGAGACAUGACUGGAGGACCAAAGGGAAUGACUAGUGGUGAUAGACUUGGGGAAUUUAGCAAGGCCUGUUCAGAAGCUUCUUGGCAUCUCUAUUGUUGUGAAGAAGAGUUUUCCUUUUUUUUUUUGCGUAUGGUGGGGAUACUCUGGGAUAAGGAUGUUAUAAACUACUUCAGAGAGGAAAAGAUUCUUUCCUGGCCUGCUGCAGGAGAAGAGUCCCCAAAGGUUCAUGUGUUACGUGGCUUGGUCCUCAUCUUGGCAUUAUUGAGAGGUGAUGAAAACUUUUUUUUUUUUUAACUGGGGACUGAACCCAGGGGUGCUUUCCCACUGACCUACAUCUGCAGCUCUUUUUUUUUGUUGUUGUUUCUUUUAAGUUUUGAGACAGGGUCUCACUAAGUUUUUUAGGGCCUCGCUGAGUUGCUGAGGCUGGCCUCUAACUUGCCAUCCUCCUGCCUCAGCUUCUUGAGCCACAGGGAAUACAGUCCAGUGUCACCGUGCCUGGCAGUGGGUCUCAUUGAGAGGUCUUUGGGUCACUGGGGAAUGUGUUCUUGAAGGAUAUUGUGGGACCCAGAUCUUUCCCUCGCUCUCAUUCUCUUCCUGGGCAUCAGGGGAGUGGCUUUGCUGUCCAUGUGCUGCUCUGAUGAUGUGCUGCCUUGCCACAGAUCCUAAAGCGACAGGCCAACCAGCUAUGGACUGAAACCUCCACAAUUGACCCCAAAUAACCCUUUCUAUCCACAAAUUGCUCUUCUCAGGUAUUUCUUAUGGUGUACUAGAAAGGUGACCACUGCAUAAAUCAGGAGAGAAGUUACGCUCUGUAAGAGUUGAAGUGGAGUGGAGGUUCCAGAACUUUAUUUAUUCAUUUUAAUUUAAUUAACUCACCCCUUGCAGGGGUCUAGUCUUCCUAAAAUAUAUGCCAUGUCUGUGGAGAGUCCUUUGCGGCUCUUAUGAAUUAGCCUUUGCUGGAUUUGUGUGCAAUCAAGAAUGUUGGAACUGAAGGCACAACACAGAGCCCUGUUCUGCCAAGUCCUGUGCAGAAUCCUCCAGGUCCUUGCCAAACGGUAUUCCUUGCAGCACAGGCUUAGUAUGUUUGGGUGGCAAUGUAAUUAGAGCCCCAAAGAAUUCUUAUUAUUUGUUAGAAGAGUUAUUUCAAAAUUGCCAGUGAGAAGCACUUGGUAUUUAAAAUUGAAAAAAAUAAAAUUGUACAGAGCAAACACUUCUCUUCAAGCUGCUUUUUCCAAUAUUCAUGAGGCUAAGAACAAUGUCCAUCCUGUAAAGGGAAAUAUUAACCUCAUGGAGUGAGC